RNAcentral lists this ribosomal RNA (120 nucleotides) under uncultured bacterium. RNAcentral's name for it is "partial 16S ribosomal RNA". It matches the Rfam family "Bacterial small subunit ribosomal RNA", at positions 215 to 334 of the family's 1533-position model. The record is from RNAcentral.
ACGCUAUCAGAAGAGCCUGCGUAGGAUUAGCUUGUUGGUAGGGUAAAGGCCUACCAAGGCGACGAUCCUUAACUGGUCUGAGAGGAUGAUCAGUCACACCGGAACUGAGACACGGUCCGG